RNAcentral lists this long non-coding RNA (218 nucleotides) under Drosophila guanche. Lineage: Eukaryota; Metazoa; Arthropoda; Insecta; Diptera; Drosophilidae. The record is from RNAcentral.
AACGGCGGCACAGACAAGGUGGCGGUAGCUAAAAAUGGGCGACGCACAAACAAACAAAAGUUUUCCCAUACCCUUUCGAGGCAGACGGGUUAAUCGUGUUGCAGGUGCCACCGUGCCUCCUUCAGCACAAUGAAGUUAGAGCAGACUCAAAGGUCGCCGAGUUGCUGUCAGAACAAAGCAAAUGAAAUGGACUUCAAAAUUAAUUAAACGAAAAGUGU